RNAcentral lists this ribosomal RNA (428 nucleotides) under uncultured bacterium. RNAcentral's name for it is "bacterial SSU rRNA". It matches the Rfam family "Bacterial small subunit ribosomal RNA", at positions 355 to 775 of the family's 1533-position model. The record is from RNAcentral.
UAGGGAAUCUUCCGCAAUGGACGCAAGUCUGACGGAGCAACGCCGCGUGAGUGAAGAAGGGUUUCGGCUCGUAAAACUCUGUUGUUAAGGAAGAACACUUUAGGUAGUAACUGGCCUAGAGAUGACGGUACUUAACCAGAAAGCCACGGCUAACUACGUGCCAGCAGCCGCGGUAAUACAUAGGUGGCAAGCGUUAUCCGGGAUUAUUGGGCGUAAAGCGCGCGUAGGCGGUAGAAUAAGUCUGAUGUGAAAGCCCCCGGCUCAACCGGGGAGGGUCAUUGGAAACUGUUUUACUUGAGUGCAGAAGAGGAGAGUGGAAUUCCAUGUGUAGCGGUGAAAUGCGCAGAGAUAUGGAGGAACACCAGUGGCGAAGGCGGCUCUCUGGUCUGUAACUGACGCUGAGGUGCGAAAGCGUGGGGAUCGAACAG